Rhineura floridana is the source of this 391-nucleotide long non-coding RNA. RefSeq lists it as uncharacterized. The record is from RefSeq and is a predicted model, not a curated record. NCBI's taxonomy places the organism in Eukaryota, Metazoa, Chordata, Lepidosauria, Squamata, Rhineuridae. The transcript has 3 exons.
CAUCAUGCUUACCUGAUGUGACCCGAUUAGGAUCCAUCCUACCAUCAGCUACCCUGACCCGAAUCUCUCUCAGGGGAGAAGGCUAAUCAUCUACAAGUCUUUUCGGUCUGUGUUCGAUUUAAAGACACAAUGAAUCAAUGUGCUGUGAAGGGAUGGAUCCAUUUAAAAGUGAGAUCACAGCAACUGUUCAUCUUUCAUCUGUACCAAAGCCUUCAUAAGCCAAUGAGAGAUGCCAUAGCUGUCCUGGGAAAAUCAAGAAUUUUAGUUUGCCUGCUUGCUGCAUAUGCAGAAUCUAGCAGUUUAGAAAACUGCACAUGCUAACUUGAUCAACACAUGCAGCUCCACUUUCUGAUUGAGUCAGCAAGGAGAAGCAGCCUUCACCUCAAUUGCC